This 94-nucleotide microRNA precursor is filed under the name Marmota monax (woodchuck). Lineage: Eukaryota; Metazoa; Chordata; Mammalia; Rodentia; Sciuridae. The record is from RNAcentral.
AGUGAAAAUUCUGGGUCACACUGUAACUUAACUUUUUGAGGAACUGCCAAACUGUUUUCUAAAGUGUCUGUAUCACUAUGUUCCCACCAGUAAU